UGCAAGUCGAGCGGUAGAGAGAAGCUUGCUUCUCUUGAGAGCGGCGGACGGGUGAGUAAUGCCUAGGAAUCUGCCUGGUAGUGGGGGAUAACGUCCGGAAACGGACGCUAAUACCGCAUACGUCCUACGGGAGAAAGCAGGGGACCUUCGGGCCUUGCGCUAUCAGAUGAGCCUAGGUCGGAUUAGCUAGUUGGUGGGGUAAUGGCUCACCAAGGCGACGAUCCGUAACUGGUCUGAGAGGAUGAUCAGUCACACUGGAACUGAGACACGGUCCAGACUCCUACGGGAGGCAGCAGUGGGGAAUAUUGGACAAUGGGCGAAAGCCUGAUCCAGCCAUGCCGCGUGUGUGAAGAAGGUCUUCGGAUUGUAAAGCACUUUAAGUUGGGAGGAAGGGCAGUAAAUUAAUACUUUGCUGUUUUGACGUUACCGACAGAAUAAGCACCGGCUAACUCUGUGCCAGCAGCCGCGGUAAUACAGAGGGUGCAAGCGUUAAUCGGAAUUACUGGGCGUAAAGCGCGCGUAGGUGGUUCGUUAAGUUGGAUGUGAAAUCCCCGGGCUCAACCUGGGAACUGCAUUCAAAACUGACGAGCUAGAGUAUGGUAGAGGGUGGUGGAAUUUCCUGUGUAGCGGUGAAAUGCGUAGA
Molecule: ribosomal RNA, 643 nt
Filed under: Pseudomonas brenneri
Lineage: Bacteria; Pseudomonadati; Pseudomonadota; Gammaproteobacteria; Pseudomonadales; Pseudomonadaceae
Description: bacterial SSU rRNA
Rfam family: Bacterial small subunit ribosomal RNA
Source: RNAcentral